RNAcentral lists this long non-coding RNA (5389 nucleotides) under Homo sapiens (human). RNAcentral's name for it is "HSALNT0307482". The record is from RNAcentral. Lineage: Eukaryota; Metazoa; Chordata; Mammalia; Primates; Hominidae.
ACUGCCAGGACCCAGAAACUAAUGCUUUCCUUGCCUAAUAAAGUCUCACUCUGUCGCCCCGGCUGGAGUGCAGUGCUGCGAUCUCUGCUCACUGCAACCUCCGCCUCCUGGGUUCAAGCGAUUCUCCUGCCUCAGCCUCCUGAGUAGCUGGGAUUACGGUGACCACCACCACGCCCAGCUAAUUUUUUGUACUUUUAGUAGAGACGGGAUUUCAUCAUGUUGGCCAGGCUGGUCUCCAUCUUCUGACCUCGUGAUUCACCCACCUCGGCCUCCCAAAGUGCUGGGAUUACAGAGAUUCUGUGAGGAGCUGGAAGGCAAGCUUGGUUCAUGCAGACAUGAGGCACUAAUGUUUUCAACUGGGUUGCUCUCCACUGGAUGCCUAUUAAAUGCUCAGCACUUUGGAGUAUACCAGAGAAGUAAAGACAUGGCCCCUGCCUUCAAGGAGCAUUUUAUCCAGUUGGGUGGGACGCUACUUCAGACUGCUUUCAUGUCAAGAUCUGCCUCAUCUUCCAAAGUGGGAGUUCCCAGCAUUAGGCUUGUGGGGGUGGAAGCUUAAUCCGCCUCCUUCCAAAAACUGAAAUCUGGCCAGACGCGGUGGCUCACACCUGUAAUCUCAGCACUUUGGGAGGCUAAGGCAAGUGGAGCACGAGGUCAGGAGAUCGAGACCAUCCUGGCCAACAUGGUGAAACCCCAUCUCUACUGAAAAUACAAAAAUUAGCCGGGCAUGGUGGCUUGUGCCUGUAAUCCCAGCUACUCGAGAGACUGAGGCGAGAGAAUUGCUUGAACCCGGGAGGCAGAGGUUGCAGUGAGCCAAGAUCCCACCACUGCACAUCAGCCUGGGCGACAGAACCAGAUUCUGUCUGAGAAAAAAAAAAAAAAAGAAAGAAAGCCAACCAAUUCUUGCUGUAACUUCUGAAAAAGAACACAGUGCUGUGGCAGCAAUAAUGAUGACAUUCUUCCAAGGGGCAGGAUAAGAAAGAGGCAAAACAGCUGCUGGAGGUGGAUUUUUGGCAUUAGGGAAGUGUGAAAUGUGAAAAAUCGCUAUCACAGAAGAUCAAAGGAGUUAAGAAAAACUCACAAUUUAGAGCUACCUGUUUGUAUUAGUCUGUUUUUAUACCGCUAUAAAGAUACUACCUGAGACUGGGUAAUUUAUAAAGAAAAGAGAUUUAAUUGACUCACAGUUCCACAUGUCUGGGGAGGCCUCAGGAAACUUACAAUCAUGGUGGAAGGUGAAGGGGAAGCAGGCACCUUCUUCACAAGGCAGCAGGAGGGAGGGAGAGAGAAGCAAAGUGGGAAGAGCUCCUUAUAAAACCAUCAGAUCUAUGAGAACUCACUCAUUGUCAUAAGAACAGCAUGGGGGAACCUCCCCCAUGAUCCAAUCACCUCCCACCAGGUCUCUCCCUCAACACCCGGGAAUUACAAUUCAAGAUAAGAGGCCGGGCACUCACCUGUAAUCCUAGCACUUUGGGAGGCCGAGGCGGGCAGAUGGCCUGAGCUCAGGAGUUUGAGACCAGCCUGGGCAACAUGGUGAAACCCCAUCUCUACUAAAAUACAAACAACAACAACAAAAAUUAGCGGGCGUGGCAGCGUGUGCCUGUAGUCCCAGGUACUCAGGAGGCUGAGGCAGGAGAAGUGCUUGAACCCUGGAAGCAGAGGUUGCAGUGAGCUGAGAUCGUGCCACUGCACUCCAGCAUGGCGACAGAGCGAGACUCCAUCUCAAAAAACAAAAACAAAAACAAUUCAAGAUGAAAUUUGAGUGGGGACACAAAGCCUAAACAUAUCACUGUUUUACAGCGUAAACAGUCACCUAAGUUAACUGUGUUAGAUAUGGUUUCUUGCAUACAUUUUCACUACCUUCUCUAUAUACUCCAUUUUUACUCUACAGAAUUAUAGAAACUGGAAGGCUCAAAACUAUAUUUCCCACUUUUCACCAUCCAUAAAAGUCACAAUUGUAAAUCUAAGUGGGACAAUAACAGUUUCACAAGAAAACAGAAGAAUACUCACGAUUUUGGAAUCCACAAAGAUUUCUUAAACUGGAGACACACAAAAUAAAUAAGCCAUAAAGGAAAACAUCUGAUAAACUAAACUAAUUCAAAAUUAUGAAUGUCUUCUUCAAAAUACACUAUUAAAAGAGUGAAUAAAAUAAGCCACAGAGUGGGCUGGGCACAGUGGCUCACGCCUGUAAUCCCAGCACUUUGGGAGGCCGAAGCAGGCAGAUCACAAGGUCAGGAGAUUGAGACCAUCCUGGCUCACAUGGUGAAACCCCGUCUCUACUAAAAAUACAAAAAAUUAGCUGGGCAUGGUGGCGGGCACCUGUAGUCCCAGCUACUUGGGAGGCUGAGGCAGGAGAAUGGCGUGAACCCGGGAGGAGGAGCUUGCAGUGAGCCGAGAUCACGCCACUGCACUCCAGCCUGGGUGACAGAGCAAGACUCCAUCUCAAAAAAAAAAAACAAAAAACAAAAAGCCACAUAGUGGCAAAAGAUAUUAUCAAUACAUAUACCCGACAAAGGACUCAUAUCCAGAAUAAAGGACUAUAAAAACAAGAAAAGGCAGACAAGCCCAUAGAAAAUCACACAAAACACAUGAAUAGGCAUUUCACAGAAGAGGGUACCCAAAUGGCCAAUAAACAAUUAAAAAGGUGUUUAUUUGAUAUCAGAAAAAUGAAAACAACAAUGAGAUUCAAUACACUGCAUUAGUCUUUGAAGAGAAUGGCUAAAAUUUAAAAGAUGGAAAAGAUCAAGUUUUGAUGAAGAUGUGAAAAACUGUUGGGCAGUACUACUCAAGCUGAACCCCAUGCAUCAGAGAAAUUACACUUUUAUAUAUCCAACUGAAAUAUGUGUGUGUGUGUGUGUUCACCAAUGUUCACAGUGGCACUAGUUGCAGUAAUCUCAAAUUGGAAACAACCCAAAUGUCCAUCUUUGGUAGAACGUAUAAAUUGUGUUAUAUUCAUACAAUGGAAUACUACACAGCAAUGAAAAUGAAGAUACUAUUAUUACUCUCAACAUGAAUGAAUCUCACAAAUAGUUGAGUAGGAAAAGCCAGUAAUAAAAUAAUACACACUGUAUCAUUCCAUUUUGUCUAAUGUUUAAAAAUAGGCCAAAUUGGUCUAGGGUAUUAGAAGCCAAGAUUACAGUCAAUUUGAGGGAGGAUAAUGCCUAGAAAAGAUAAUGAAGGGAGCUUCUGGUAUGGUAGUAGUUUCUGCCUCCCAAUCUGGGUGCUAGCAAUAUGUAGGUGUGUUUACUUUAUGAAAAUUCAUCAAGCUCUCUGAUUAUAAUUUGUGCAUUUUUCUGUCUGUAUGCUAUACUUCAAUAAAGAUAGAUUUAUACUGAGUUAGGAACAAAGCUCAAUAACUAUAAUUCUAGGCUGAGCUGCUAAUAGGAUUUGUUAAACAAUUUAAACUGUGCCAGUCAGAUAUAAUGAUGCGAAAUUAGAAAGGUAAAAGGAAGAGAGAGGCUAUUUCCCCUGCCUAUUAGUUUUCCUUCCUUCCUUCCUUCCUCCCUUUUCUUUCUCUUCUUUCUCCUUCCUUCUUUCUCUUUCUCCUUCCUUCCUUCCUUCCUUUUCUUUCUCUUCUCCUUCCUUCCUUCCUUCCUCUUCUUUCCCUUCCUUCCUUUCUCUCUCUCUCUUUUUACCUUCCUCCUUCCCUCCCUCCUUCUCUCUCUCUAUUUAUUUAUUUUUUGAGAAAGAUUCUUGUUCUGUCCAGGCUGGAGUACAGUGGCACAAUCACAACUCACUGCAGCCUAGACCUCCUGGGCUCAAGGAUCCUCCCACCUCAGUGUCCCAAAUGUUUGGGACUUCAGGCAUGCACCAACAUGCCUGGCUGCCUAUUAGUUUUCACUGGUAGUUGUUGAUGUACGUGCAACAUUAAAUGUGGUUUUUAAUGACCAGACUUUCUGUGCCUCUGCAUUGCCACUAACUUCAUCUGUGAGAAAUGACUGUGAUGCCAGCAGUGGACUUUAUAGCUUCCUGACCUCUAGAUUGUAGCUGUGUGGACUGAACUGCGAGCCCAACAGCAUCCCUCUAAUGGUAAGAGCAUAUAAUUUUUAAGCAUAUAAUUCUUAGCAUUCAGUACCUAGAGAAGUGUCUGCACUGAACCCCAACUGAUAUAUCAGUUAAUAACACAACUGAUAGGUUAUCUAGUAGGUUUAUGGUUGGUUGUAAGAAUCUUUGGGAAAGAAAAUUACCAUUGGCAAUCCUACCACCUAGGAUCAUCAUUAUCAUGGGAAAGUUCUGCUUUAGAGGCAACCUAAAUCUAUUUUGAGGUCCUGAAAAUGCAUUUACUUCACAGGAUAUGCUGGUUUCUGCUGCCAUUCAAAAAUUAUUCUUAAGGCAUUCUUUGUUCUCUUUUCACUAGCUAAAUAAUGCCGUGCUUUUAACUUUUCUUUAUGUGUUCAGCAGCUUUUCCCAGUUGUGGAUAUUUGAAAAAAGUAUUCAUAUAAAUACUGCCUGUUCUGGUAGGAUUAGCUGUCCCUUUCUUUUGGUUAUAUUCCCAAGUUCAUUCUUGCUUAUCUAACCAAAGCCCUACAUUGCUGACUCAAGUUUAGUUUAUGGUCCAAGCCCAGUAUCAUGUUACUAUUAGCCAAGAUUUCCCAUGGGUUGAGGCAGACUUGUAGAAGAUUGAAAAAUAAAACUUACUGGCCAUAAGUAAGACUUUUUAUCUGGCCUUCCAGUACAGAACAUUCUCUAAUAUAGCAGCUUAUAAACAAUGAGAAUCAGAAGCCUAAAAAAAUUAGUUAAUAGCCAAACAGUGACUGAAUCAUGGAAUUGUACAGUUAGAAUGGACCUUAGAAGCAGUCUAUAUAAGCCAGGUAUAGUGGCUCAUGCCUGUAAUCUCAGCACUUUGGGAGGCCAAGGCAGGAGGAUCUCUUGAGCCCUGGAGUUUGAGACCAGCCUGGCCAAAAUGGUGAGACCCCAUCUCUACUAAUUUUUUUAAAAAGUCUAUAUACAUACCAGAACACAGAGCUCAGAUAUGUAUGCAGGAUUCCAGUCCGUGCUGAAUACUCUUCCAGUAUGAGUACUCUUCCUACUCCUCAAGGUGUGUGGCCCUCAAAGCAGCAGCAUCAGCACUUACCUGGGAGCUUGUUAGAAAGCCAGAAUCUCAGGCUCCAACACCCACUGAAGCAGAAUUUGCAUGUAACACCCCCACCCCUUCUUGAUUUGUAUGCAUGUUGAAAUUUGUGGAGUUAGAGACAAAAGCACCACAGGUGCAUGUCUUACUAUUUAAAGUCUUGCCUAAUUAUAUAACAUAGAAACCUGAUCCCUUCUGGACAAGGCCUGUAUUAUUACAGGUCCUGGUCUAAUAGAGUAUUUGAAUAGCUGGGUUAAAGAAAAAGAAAACUCUCUUUAAUAAUCUUUGGAAAAAGAGGACAUUUAUUUGAGCUAUGCUAGUUUU